CUCUGAUAACUGACUCUUUGCCUGUUUUUCCCGUUUCUUGCUGUAAUUUCUGCUCUUGUUUUAAAUUCAGCAAUACCGGGUGAACCUACCCCACCCCCCACCCUAAACGCCAAUAAAAGCAGAACCCCAGAUUCUCCCCUUCUCUCUCCCUGUCCCCUCCUCCCCUGCCUCUCUCCAAACACACACACACACACACACACACACACACACACAGCCCCACUGUGUAGCCCCAUGCGUGCGCUGUGCCUUCUGGGAUCUGUGCGUAAUAAAACUUGUCCUUUCAAAGUUUCCCGUGAUUAUUGCUCAGGGAUGUUUUGCAAUCAUAGUAACAACCACAAGGGCCAGUCCAAAAUUGGCUCUGGAAAGAGCAACAGCUGUGAGCCCAGGUGAGUGCCCGAGGCAUUUCUAGCCAACAGCAUUACCAUCCCUAGGCUGAGAUCCACACAAAACCCCUCCCCAUCCAAUCCCACUGACUACCUGAUUGGCCUACCUAUAUCCAGUUAAGGUGACAAUUAGCCCAGCCUAGCUGGCCAGGUGAAUCAAGAGGGGCAGAUAAGACGGACAGGAGAUGGAGCUUGGUAUUCCAGAACCGGUAUGCCUAAUAGGUUGCAAGAAUUUCAGGAAGCAAGAAACAACUCAAACAAGUGGUCCAAACUCAGGACAAUCUACAUGCUCAUCAGGGAAAUCUGCAGAGAUGGAAAGCUUCCAUUUUCUUUGCAAUACACUGAGCAUCGGAGGCACCAAAGAUUUACUUCAAAGGAAAAUGGUGCAACAAGUCCUUUUCUGUGAUUACAACGGGAGCAUUAACACACAUUCCUCAGAACCACAUGCAGGGUUUUAUUUCCUUGGAGGUGGUAGUUUCCAGGCCCGGAGACCUGAAUCAAAAGCAUGUUAUAAGGUCAUCCAGCAAGAGACCGAUGGCCAGUGUGAGGCCUGA
RNAcentral lists this long non-coding RNA (937 nucleotides) under Sus scrofa (pig). Its description in RNAcentral is "lncRNA (ENSSSCG00065042608.1)". Lineage: Eukaryota; Metazoa; Chordata; Mammalia; Artiodactyla; Suidae. The record is from RNAcentral.